UACGGAGGGUGCAAGCGUUAUCCGGAUUCACUGGGUUUAAAGGGUGCGUAGGCGGACAUGUAAGUCCGUGGUGAAAUCUCCGAGCUUAACUCGGAAACUGCCAUGGAUACUAUAUGUCUUAAAUGUUGUGGAGGUUAGCGGAAUAUGUCAUGUAGCGGUGAAAUGCAUAGAUAUGACAUAGAACACCAAUUGCGAAGGCAGCUGGCUACACAAAUAUUGACGCUGAGGCACGAAAGCGUGGGGAUCAAACAGG
Molecule: ribosomal RNA, 253 nt
Filed under: uncultured bacterium
Lineage: Bacteria
Description: partial 16S ribosomal RNA
Rfam family: Bacterial small subunit ribosomal RNA
Source: RNAcentral